This 1422-nucleotide long non-coding RNA is filed under the name Anas platyrhynchos platyrhynchos (common mallard). Its description in RNAcentral is "lncRNA (ENSAPLG00000027162.1)". Lineage: Eukaryota; Metazoa; Chordata; Aves; Anseriformes; Anatidae. The record is from RNAcentral.
CCCUCAGACUCUUGGUCACUUGCCAGGACAACCUGCAGGUGGGGAAAGCAUGGGUAACAGGAUAACAGUUUAAAAAAAAAAAAAAGAGCUUUUUUAUUUUAUUAGGAAAAGGUUCUUACUGCUAAUAAAAUUUUUUAUAGGUCUUUGAGCUUCCCCACUGACAGUCCUGCUUAAGUGCUAAUUCUUUAAAUUGAAUACACCUGAUACACAGCUUUUACAGGUGGCUAAUGAGUCUGGCCACCUGAGAGAUGCAGAUAAUUGCCUCAGACUGCAAAAAUUUGGAGGGUGAUGGGCAUUCCAGGUAGGAGGAAUGAGUAGAAGUUGUGGGACAGAGAAGCCAGAGGGGCUUGGAACAUCAUUUAGCUCAGAAAAUACUAAAUGAUUUAAUUGAGUUGAGGGGCCAGAACCUGGACUUGUGCCUGCUUCACUUAAUGGGACAAAUGGUUUCUUUGGGCUGGUAGAGUUGGAGCUUGCAGUAGGGGCCAGAGCCAUUGGGUAUGCCGGAAAAGACAACUUGGCUGCCUUAUUUACCACCUGUGGACACUUGUUAUGGAGAUGAUGACUGCCUGGGCAAUUUUUUUCUUGGGAACUCCUCACAUUCCUAUUCAGAAUUUGAGAAAUGGAAGGACUUCAGUGAGCCACAGACACCAGUAAGAAAACUCUCCUGUGGGACAUGAGAUAACUUCUGAUUUCUAAAACAGAAGAGAAAUUAUAUCGGAGAAGAAUAUUGUAAACUGAAUGGAAGCUGAAAGCUGGGGCCUACUGAGUGAAAGGAAAUCAAUCUCAAUUCUGUAUUUUCCUUCAAGGUUCAUGAAAUGAGCGUUUUAACUCCCAUGGACGUUUUAGCUCCUGCUCACCUAAAAAUGUUGGAGAGUCUCCACUUGCCCCUUGCUGUUGAAGCUUUACACACAUACACCUACACGUGUUUGUUCAGACGCCGUCUUCUCUUCCAGCAGCCUGUGUAGAGAAUUUAUACCCCACUAUUAAAUUAUUCACAGUUCUAAAGGAACAACCAGCCGUGUCAGAGAUGCCUGAAAUGUGGUUCAGUAGUUGAGCUGGGAAGUACAGCACUGGGCACAUGAGCACCAGUUUUUCGGUCAGCGCUGCCUUCUCAUCCUUCCCUGUUUGCUCCAGUGUCAUCCUCAUUGUUCACCGCUCAGCCUUUCUGAAGGCUGCCAACAAAACAGCUGAAUCAAGAACCUGAGGCUGAAGUGAGAGGAUGAAUUCCAGCUCCGCCGGCCGAGCCGGCCCCCGGUGCUUGGUGAGCCGACUCUUUGAUUCUGCUAUAUCAUAGCUUGCUUUUCUUUUGACUAGGCCAUUGUCAUAUUGCUGUUGACCUCUGCCCCCACAUAUACAAACCUGAACUCUGGAUUAGGCUUCCCAGGGAAUAAACUAUGGGCAAAGUUGAACUACUAGCUAGAA